UACGUAUGGGGCAAGCGUUGUCCGGAAUCAUUGGGCGUAAAGAGCGUGUAGGCGGCUCGGUAAGUCCGCUGUAAAAGUCCAGGGCUCAACCCUGGAAAGCCGGUGGAAACUGUCGAGCUAGAGUCCGGAAGAGGCGAGUGGAAUUCCUGGUGUAGCGGUGAAAUGCGCAGAUAUCAGGAGGAACACCAAUGGCGAAGGCAGCUCGCUGGGACGGUACUGACACUGAGACGCGAAAGCGUGGGGAGCAAACAGG
RNAcentral lists this ribosomal RNA (253 nucleotides) under uncultured bacterium. Its description in RNAcentral is "partial 16S ribosomal RNA". It matches the Rfam family "Bacterial small subunit ribosomal RNA", at positions 524 to 776 of the family's 1533-position model. The record is from RNAcentral.